CGCCAGCCCCGAGGGGUGCCCUCGGCCGCAAAAUGCCGCGGGGCCUCAGCGUGUGGAGCUGCUCGGGAGGUCGAACCCGAAGCUCUAAGCCAGAACCUAAGGGGGCCAGAAGCUGGGAUCCAAGUCUACUUGUCCCACCCCCUCCACUGGAACUCCCUGGCCCCCAGCUCUGCACAGCUCCUGCCCUGCAGCCCUCGCCUGGCUGUGCUCCGGGAAGUCCUCGUGGGCACUUCACCCUGCUCUGCAGCCACACUCACACCCUAGAUCCAGGUCACACUAGAGGCAAAGACCCCACUGGCUCGGACUUCACCAACCUGGAGCAGGGGAGAGAAGCUAAGUUCUGACCUUUGAUCAGAAGAUGGGGAAGCCACACUCAACACGUCACUGCCUUGGGAGGUGGAUUUGGGGAUGGUGGGUCCUGGGGAAAAACGGGCUUUUGGUGUGGAAAUGACAUCUUUCCUGUUUCCGACCUCUGCCUGCCUCAUGCCAGGUGAGACACCUUCAUGCCUGUUUCCAUGAUUGAGAACAUGGGAGUACGCUUCUUUCCACCUACGUUCCUGGUGGAUUUUCACUGGAGUUGGGCUGCACUGUGGAAAA
This 597-nucleotide long non-coding RNA is filed under the name Homo sapiens (human). RNAcentral's name for it is "non-protein coding lnc-YIF1A-6:2". The record is from RNAcentral. Lineage: Eukaryota; Metazoa; Chordata; Mammalia; Primates; Hominidae.